UUUUCGAUAGCUUAAAGUUAGAGCAAAGCAUUGAAGCUGCUUAGGUAAUUUAUAAAUUUCGAAGAA
RNAcentral lists this transfer RNA (66 nucleotides) under Epitonium scalare. RNAcentral's name for it is "tRNA-Phe". It matches the Rfam family "tRNA". From Rfam's summary of the family: Transfer RNA (tRNA) molecules are approximately 80 nucleotides in length. Lineage: Eukaryota; Metazoa; Mollusca; Gastropoda; Epitoniidae. The record is from RNAcentral.